RNAcentral lists this long non-coding RNA (34162 nucleotides) under Phoenix dactylifera (date palm). RNAcentral describes it as "long non-coding RNA (PDAC_LNC002955)". Lineage: Eukaryota; Viridiplantae; Streptophyta; Magnoliopsida; Arecales; Arecaceae. The record is from RNAcentral.
AGGUUCCUAGUCACUUUGUAUUUUCACCAGAACUAUCUUCAUUUUUUUGGUUCAGUGCAUUUUACUUUCUGUUUUCCUGGUUCCCUUUUUUCUCUUUGUGUGUGUUGUUAUACUUACUGUUUUCUUCUCAUCAUUGUUUGAGGUUCGUCUAGUUGGCAUUAACUAAUUCUUAGUUCUGCAGGAGGUGCAUUUUCUAGACCUUGACAUUUUCUUUGCCAUAAGUUUUAUGAGGUUAUCCUCGACAGUGCCUAUUAAAAAGCCAUUGGCUUAUUAAUCUUCAUGUCUCAACAUGUCUUACUGGAAGUCUUAUGUGGGUUUUUUCUUCUUUGGACUAUUGUUUCAAUGUAUGUUAGUUAAAAUUUUAUGUCUAUAUAGAGGCCAGGCAUUAGGAGGUUUGGAUUUGCAAAAUAGAAUAGUGGUUCUUAUUUUAAUUACAACAUGAUCUUAUCUGGUGAUUCAAUAUCCUAGCAUAGACUGAGUUCGUUUUACUUCAAAACAUUAUUGUAACUAUAUUGAGAAACAAGAGUGCAGAGCCAGGUCUUAGUGUAGUGCAGCAAACAUAGUAGCUGGGUCAGUGACCUUUUCAUUUUGCUUCAAUAACAUUUAAUUAAGCACUAGAAAAAUUCAUAUAAUCUUGUUCUGCCUCAGAUAGGACAUAAAGGAUUUUGUUUUUUGAUUUAUAUACUAUGAAUAAUAAAAUGCAGUAGUUUGGAUGGUGUACUGAUUAUGUGAGCACAUAAUAUGCAAAUCUUUUAACCUUUAGAUGGGAGAUAUUAAAGUUUGUUUUGUGACAAUGAAUUCAGUCCCUAUUUCACUUCAAUCCUGAAAUGCAAACUCCAAAAAUGUAUUACUUUUCUAGCUUUCUUCUUACUUUAGAUUUAUCUAUUCCACAAGGAAGCUAAAUAUAUGUGGAUUUACAAAAUUAGCUUGUUGAAAUCAUCUCACACGAUUGUUGAUUUUUUCCAGGACUUUCCAUCAUUGAAAUUUUGGGAACAACUUAUCAUUAUUUGUUAUAAAUGGUAUCUAAUGGACUCUGAAGCUAAUCCCACGCAAAGCUAAUCUAUUCUAGGGGAUUAAUUAGGGUUCAAUCACAAUAAAUAUCUAUAGAAGUUUCAUCAAUCUAUGGUUAUUAAUAAAUCUAUUUAGGCUCUCUCUGGUAUGCUGUACCAUACCAUACCGGUUGGUACGGGGUGUACGGUACCAUACCAGUUCGGUACCGGUACCGGUAUGGGUGGUGUACAGACACUCGAUACGCCCAAAAAAAUCCAUACUAUAUCGUACCAUACCGACAUUAUACUAGUGUGGCACCGGUACGGGAUCCGGUACCGAGACGGCGAACCUUGAGGCUCUUUAAUUCACCUAUCUACACGCACUAGUUUAUUCAUCUAUGUUCUAAUUCACCCAUCAUCACCUACUGAGUCAUCCAUUCAUAUUAAUCAACUCACCCCAAACCAUUUCUAUUCCACCUAAGAUUGCUCCCAUCUACCCACCAACUUAAUUGUAGGAAUACACCACACAACCCUCCUUAAUCUAGAUUUUAGGUGUCAGCUCAUUUCAACAGCCAAGCUUCACUACUUCUCCCCUCGUACUGCAUUACCCUCUUGCCCUAAUUUUUUAUCUUUUGACGCUCUCCCCACAUAUCCGAGCCACUUGUUAGAGAAUCAGCCCAAGAUUUUCUUUCAUGAACUUCCAUAUGUACUAACAACAUGCCCUGCAUAAAAAAAAUACAUGGACUUGCCAUUUUGAAUGUUCUAUGUUUUGCCUCCUUUUUGCUUUUGCUUCCAAUAUCCUCUUCUCUCUUGAAAAUUGUCAUCAUGUCUUGCAAUGUUUUAAAAGGAAGCUACAGUAUGCAAGCAGUUAGGGGACUACAUGUCACAUAUGCGAAGAUGCAUAUUUGGGUGGGAGUUUAAAUAUUUUAAAUAAAUAAAAAUACAGAUGUAGAAAAAUACAAAUGAUAAUGAUAGUAACAUUAAUAACAAUAAUAACUACCAUUUACUAAUACUACUUCAUAUUUAAUAUUUAAUAGCAGUUAUUUAAUAUUAUUGAUGAAUUGAUAUUAUUAACAAUGCUUAUGACAAUCUCAGACAACUUGUAUCCUACCACCAAUUGACUAAAUCCUUGCUGUUCACAUCUGCUCACAUAUGAUAGGCUGCGUAUGUGGCAGCAUAAUAUUAAGCGAGCUGCAUAUGUGGCUAUAUGAUGUUAACCACACUUGGCCCAUAAUGAUGAGGUAGCUUUCUUAUAUGGCUCAUUUGUAGCUCGGUGGCAUAUGGUAACCACAUAUUGGAAGUGCAAUCAAGAGAUUGCAUUCACAUACAUGGUUGCAUUGAUGGUUCUUUUAACAUUGAAGCCUCAAAAAAAAUUUCCUCCCAUUGCGCUCGAGCUGAUGUUUUGUGGAGGCUUUACUUGGUUACUCAUUUUGAUAUAUGGGUUCAUCGGCUAAUUGAUUAGGAUCAAUUUGGGCUUUCCUCAAUCAAACACCUACCGACACGAAUGAUGACUGUAAUUGGACUAGGCUGGUUAAUAUAUCAUGGCAAUUUUGGAAGGGUAUAAAUAUAAAGUUCUUUGAGGGUGCAUUAUUAAUUGUUGAAGGAAUGCUUAGGAUGGCACUUGUCUUUGUCAAUGAAUAUUGGCCUUAUUAUCUCCUUCCCCCCUUGUGAAUUUGGUCAGGCCUAAAUUCGCGGUACUAGUUUCGGUACCAAUAUUGGUAUCAUGCUGCUACAGUGUUGGUACUGGCUGAUUCGUUGUAGUGACAAACUCCCCAUACUGUGUUUUAACAACCUUCUCGUUUUUUGGCCAACCAACUAUUUGAUUGAAAACAUAUUUUGAUGGUUUUGCAUGAGUAUAGGAUUUACUGGUGGAUAAUUUGCUAUUAUGAUCACAUGGGCCAACUUCUUGUGCUACCUCUGUUCCAUUAUGGGAUGUUAGUGUUUUGUUGGCUGAGACAAGGGCAACUUAUGCAGAACAUUGGUAUGCAAAUGGAUGCCUCUCAAGGCUAGCCACUAUGGGGUUAGCCCUUUGUCUUACCCCCAAGAAAACAUCUUUUGUCUUAACAACCAAAUAUUCUAAAUUCCAUGUAGGUGUAAAUUUUAUGGAGCAAACACCCCCAUAUUCCAAAACACCUUUUAUCCUCCAUUAUUGGAUGAGAAGUUUCAAGAAGCUAAUUCAACCAUCCAUGGAGCAAAUUUUAUGGCAUCCUCUAUCCUUAAUCAUCUCAUGCCACCCCUUUAAGCAAUCCUUGCACUGUUCUUCUAGCCAAUAAGCUUCUACAAUAUCAUUCUAAUCCUUAAACUUCCCUAGCUUCCUCUGUAAGUACCCCCCAUCCCCCCCUAAAAAAACCCCUCUCCUUUUAAGACAGAAAAUAAGGUGAAACUUAGAUAUUCAAGGAGGCUACCAUAUGCUAUACUUCUCUAAUUGAGGAUUUUCUCCACCAUUUUUGCUAUCCUUUUCUUAGUUCUACCAUAGCCUUCACCCUCCUCUACCUAGAACCUUACACAAUGAAGGACCUCAUGGCUCCUUUGAGGGCAACUUGAGGAAAAGACUCCACCUCCUUGGUUAGGGGUCUACCAUAUAGAGACCUAAUAGCUAGGAGGUUUGGCAGGAGGAAGUGAAUGAGACAUCUUACCUCUCCUCUCUUUUCUUGUUUCUCUCUCGCUCGCUCGCCCCCCGCCGCCCCCCCCCCCGCCGCGUUAUCUUUACCUCAACAUAGAAUGCCUAAAAAGACCUAUUUAGAGACCCAUCUUAGCUGGUGGGGGAUUAGCUACUUCACUAUUUUGUAAGACCUUCGAGAUAUUUGAUGUUUACUAUAGUUUCACAGGUUUCCCCAUCAGAUUUAGAUUCUUUGAUAUUCUAAGAUUAGUUUAAAAAUCAAAGAAAAGGGCUUAAUUGAUUAAAACGAGGGACGGUCUUAAGGAACAUCCCUCUACCGGCAAAGAUGGAUCCCUAACUAAAUUUUCUUAGGCUUUCAAUGAGAAAAGAAAUGAGAAAGAAAAUUAAAAAAAAUGAUGAAAGGAGAGAGGAAGCAGCAUAGGAGAUAUCUGGCAAUCAUGAUAGUCACUUACUCCUUUAUUGCUUCCCCCACCCAAACCUUCUUCAUAUUGGAUCUACGUUUAUUCCUAACCAAGGAGGUGACAGUGGCUCUUUUUCCUUCAGACCACUUGCAAAAGAAUGUAAAGGUCUUCCAAAAGAAUAGUAGUAGAGCCUCCUACAAUUUGCUAAUUUUUUCCUUGAAAGUGUCUCUUUUUUUUCUUCUUUUUUGCAGGGGUUGAUUGGAGGCACUAUUUUGUGGAGGUAGGAUGGAUAGUUAGGAUCUAGGACAUGGCAUGAGAUGAUCUGUAAAUACGAGGUGCCAUGUGUAGUUCCACAUGGAUGGAUGAGAUUAACUAUUAAGAACUCUCAUCCUAUGAUGGGCUGUGAGGCACCAGGUGGGAUUGUCGAAUGUGAGGAAAUUAAGGGGAAUUUUUAACAUGUAUGAGAUCCAAUGACACGUUUAUGCUUCAUUCUUAUCCUCUGUGUGCAUGUGUCAAAAGCAUUCAUUAUCAAGGUGAAGAACAAAAAUUUCUUCUCUGUUCCUUACCAAGAGAGUAAGAGGAAAGAGAAGAACAAUGAAGAGUAAAAAACAUAGAAAGAAGAAGUUCAAAAGUUCUAUAAUGCUCAAUACAAAUGGUGGAUGGUCACAUGCCACAGAGUGUCCACAAAAUAAAUUGUGUUCUAAAAUCCCUCAAGUUCCUCUCCUUGCAAUUUUCCUGCUAAAUCACAUGGGUACCAAGCAUCAUAUCCUUUUUUGAAAUCAUCCUGAUGGGGUCAAUUUCAAAAUUCGAGCUAGUAAAUCAUGUUCCACUUCACAACCUAGAGGGGUCAAGCAUUUAAACCAAAGUAAUUAAGGCCAAACCUCUUUAAAUAAAGGCAAAUUAUGAGAGUUGCCCAUGAUUUUGUCCAAUGGAAGAAGUGCUUCACUUUUUCUUCAUUGUUUCUCAUAUUGAGGAAGAUUCUCCUGGAGGAUAUUUUACAUGACCACUGUUUACAUUAUGUUUGAUUUUUGCAUGGUAUCAUUAUAUUGUAACAUUUUUUUGUUGAUUAUGCAGACUCGUCUGCAAAAGUAUUACAUAUAUGACAACCUGGACUGAGAAAGAACCACUGACAUUGCACGUCUCAAAUCAAGUAUUAGACGAUGCUCCGGUCAAUCCUGGUGAUGGAAAAGAGCAAAAAAGUUCAGUUAUUUAUCACUUACACAGGUCGCACCUAAAGAUUGCGCCUGCAUAAUAUUUAUCUUCCUUCUCUCUUCCUUUAAUCAGUAACAACAAACAUUCAGAAUCAGGGGUUAUUUUGAAGAAAUCUAGAAAACCUGUUAGAACAUGAAGCAUUCUGAUUUUCCUGCUAUCAGGCCAAAUCUAUCAUUUUCCCUGAGUUUAAACAUCACGUGUAGUUCAACUACACAAAAGUUCCUUUCCCUUAUAGAUCUUUUUGAUGUUUGAGUUGAAGGAGAAUAUCAAUUUACUAUUAGCUAAGUUAGUUAAUUUUUCUCUGAACUUAAUUAGAUCCUCCUCUUGAUAUUUGUAUGGACCUUGCUUCAAUAGAUGGCAUCACUCACAUCAUUCUUAAGUAAUAAAGUCAAUUAAUUUGUUGGCUUGAUUCUGGUGAAGUAAGGUCACAUCUGAAUUUGGACUGAUGUCUUUGUUGGUUAAGCAUUUAUGCUCAUUGCUAUGAUGGAUGGUAGUCGUGGUAAUCAAUUGUAGAGAUUGAAAUUUUGAGUAUCUGAUCAUCUAGUAUUUCCUAGGAGCUAGUUCCAUUGGUAAAUCAUAGUUACUUUAAAAUCUGUUCUUCUGACUGUCAUAACUUGCAUACUUUAAUGCAGUCUAAUGAGUUCCAUCAUUCCACAUGUCGUCUUUUGCAGGGAGAGAAAGGGAGCUUAGGUUUUAGCAUUUCAAUCUUAAACCUUAUGUCUAAUGGAUCAUUCCCUUCUCCAUUUAUAUGGGGUACUGGCUUAAAAGUCUUGAAUGUAGAAGCGUAGGAAAAUCUUGGGCGAUGAGCCCUAGUCUUUGGCUAUGGUUAUUUGUUUUCUACAUCCACAUUCUGAGAGGCAGCCAGCCAGCCAGGGGCGAUUUUCAGUUGUUGACAUAUUAGGCCACAAUCCAAUGAUGUGACCUGUUCUCAGUUUUUUAUACUCCCAGGAUAAUGUCACUUCAUAUUGUCUUGUGACUAUUGACAUCAUUUAUAAUUACCUUUGCAGGAUAUGUUGAUCUGUGAAUGGUUGCACUUGCACCCUUGUGGCUUUAGCCUUUUCUCCCCAGUACUUAGAUAGGUUCUAAGGGACACUUAUGUGGAUGUAUAUGACUUUUUUGAUGACAAAUUGCAUUAAAACACCCUGCUGUGGUGUACCCACUUGCAUGGAAUAAGAUCUCCAUUUAGGCUUAUUUGUUGUGCAAGGAUCUUAAUAAUUCCCUUCCUUUCCCCCUUAAGAGUUUGGAUGAACGAACUCAUUUGAAGGAUGCAUUUGACAUGGCUCUAGAAUAAUUUCAUAGUUUCCAUGAACCAUGUACACAUAUUGGAAGGGCUUUUAGAAGACACUAUGUGCAAAUAAUUCUGCUGAACUAUUUUUUUCCUUUUAAAAAUAAUUUUACCUCAUCUUUUCUCCUGACAAGGUGGUUGUAGUUAAAAGCUGGUUAUUGUAAAGUGGCUUAUUGCAAACAUGAUUAAGGCUUCAGCUAAGCUUCAGCUUGGGUGGAUGCUGUACCACUCUAGUAGAUCACCAUGGUCCUUCUUGCUAACCUUUUUCUGUCCAACUACAUAUUAUGUUGCAUAGUUUCAUCUGUAAGUGAUGCAGAAUUGGUAGCCUAAAUAUUUCAUGAUUAGGUCGAGUGCUAUAGCUGCAUAACCUAUGUAAUCAAGAUCUUUUGCCUUGUUUUGGUACAGAGGUGAAGUGUGGUUAAAUUAUUGAAUUUUGUUAGUCAAACUUAAACAUGGUUCUAUUGAUUUGGAAGAGCUUAUGUUGGACAGAAUGGGCAAUAAGUGUUUUGCAUAUUAGUCCCACUGUUUUUUCAUACAAAUAUCAAUAUUCAUGUAAAGUUAUCCAUUUGUACAAAUCAAUCCUUUUGCUAGUUUUCAUGACCAAACCCUUGUUUACUUUGAUCAAGAUUUCAGAAGGACUUGGCUUAACUAGAUUUAAUCAAACAUGAUAUACUAUGCUGGGGAAAUAGUUCUACAUGCAAGUUGAAGCAGAAAGAAAUUUAUACACCCCUAUUCCAAGAACCCCAUAUAACGCAAGCGGCAUCAUGAUUUUUCUUCGAUUAUGGAAGUGUAACCAGCUCAUCCAACGGAUCAUCAACCAUCAUAUGGGCUUACAAAAAAACGUUGGCCGUCCGAUCGAAAUCUCCGUCUCUUUCGUCCAUGGAUUCGGCGACUGCGCGCCGCAUGGGGACGUCUGUAAACAGGAGAGGGCUUCCCUUGGAUCCCUAUUCUCUGAAGCCGUUAGCUAAAGGGCUCAAACACGAACCACCUUUGCUGCUGAGGUGGCGUCGUUAGGCUGGCAACUACGGAUUCGGUUGUAUCUUUCGCGCAGCAAAAUGAUGGAUCUCUCCACACAUAUAUUAAAGCGCUUCAAUUUUUUUUGGAUUGCACAGCUCUUAAAGCGAUUAUUUCAUGAUCCAGCAAUAGAUGCGUACCAACGGGGAGAGAAAAGUAUUUCAUUAAUUUAUUGAUUUUUUAUUAAAUAUUUUCUAAUAUCAAAUUUUACAUAAAUAUCUUUUAAAUUAAUAUUUAUAUAUAUAUAUAUCCUCUUAAACACUCAUUUUACUCUUUUAUUUUUUAUUCUUAUUUUUGCAUAUGUAUCUAUAUUAUUUAAUGUCGUUAAAAAAUUAACAAUUUUAAAUUAAAAUAAUUAAAAUAUUUUUAACGAAUAAAUGUAAAAAAAUAUGCAUAAUAAUGGUCGUAAUGAAAAACAAAAAUAUAAUUUCAAAAUUUUAUUUUAUUUUUAAUUAAAAUAAAUAUGAUUUUUAUUGAGAAGAACAAUUAUAUACAAAAAUAGUAUUUAUAAAAAUACAGCAAUAAAUAUAAAUUUUAUAAAAUAUUUAAGUAAAUUUAAAUUUGUAAAAAAAUAUUCACACAAAAAAACUCUUAAAUUUUAGCCAAGUACAUGCAUGGUAUGCACGUGGCACCGUGGAAUGCUGUAUAAUUGUGGAUAGCCGUCCAUUUUUUGAUGGUGAAGAUAGACGGCGAUCCAGAGAUGCAGAGUAUUCUGUGGUCCACAACCCGCACCGCAAAGGUCCUAAUUGAAAAUUUUUUCCCUAAUAGCUUUGAUAGUGAAUAUUAUUAGACUAAUACUAACAGAAAAAUAAUGGUAUUGGUAGUAAAUUAAGUUGAUUAAACCUGAACUUUUUUGACCGUCAUAUGUUUAACAUGGAGGCCCCCCGGAGCGGUACCGAGAGAGAUGCUUUUCCUCUCUCUCUCUCCUUUUUUUCCCUCCUUUAUAUAUUUUGGUACUGAGUCACGAGAGACGGGAAGAAGAGCGGCGAGAUGGGAGGCGGCGGCGGGGAGGCGGCGGCGUCGGCGGCAGCGAGCGCGUGUUCGUCGUCGCCGUCGGUGGCGUCGCCGAACGGGAAGAGGGGGAGAGAUCCGGAGGAUGAGGUCUACCUCGACAACUUCCAUUCCCACAAGCGUUAUCUUAGUGAGGUUUGUAUUUCGUCGCCGAAUCUUCUUCUUCGUCUUCUUCUUUUUACAGAAAAAAAGGAAUUUACGUAAUGCUUUGGGAUUUUGCGCUUGGAUUUGGUUUUCGUUUUUCUUUCAAUAGGGCGGAAUUUUGUUUAUUUGGAUUAAAAAAAGUAAAGCAUUUAUCUUUUUUGGUUUGGGAUUCUAUUCUUAAGCGGUUUUGUUAAUGAAGAAAAUUAACAUGUAACUGCUGCCCAAAUUUUUAUCACAAUGAUGAAAGGAAAUAUAUUNNNNNNNNNNNNNNNNNNNNNNNNNNNNNNNNNNNNNNNUCAUGUGGGUCAAAACCCAACAUAUAUAUCAUUCUACAGCCGCGAAGCUUUUUUCUUCUUCUCUUAUGUGGUUUAGAGUUUUGUUUGGUUGAUGGAUGAUCUACGAAUGUGCCAAAAAAAAUUGAUCUUUGGUAGAGUAUAAAAUUAAUGCUUUAGUGCUUGUAGGUUUGUUCUUACUUCCCCUGUCGACCAUGGUAGAUCGAUUAUGUUUGCUUCAACAUUUUGGUUUUCUUCAUUGUCCAAGUUCAGUAUUUUGCCUCUCUUCUAUUUCACUCAAUGUAGAAUAUAUUACCUGAAGGAAUAAGAGAGAGAAGUUGAUGAGCUUAAUUAAUUAAUUAAUUAAUUAUAUUCUGUUUCCUAUAAAAGUUUUAUCUUUUUUACUUCGAAGAGAUCGUCUUUUGGACCUGUUAAUUCAUAGUUGGAUGAUGAUGAUUGGUUAUUUUAUUGUGGUUUAGAUAAUGGCUUCCAGUAUGAAUGGAUUGUCAGUGGGGGAUUCCCUCCCUGAGAAUCUCAUGGAAUCCCCAGCAAGAUCUGAAAGCAUAUGUUACCCCAGGUAUGCUUAAUAUUUUAUCCUUCAUAUUUAGUUGGCUAUUGUAUAUUCUUUUCCAUAUCAAGGCUUCCAAGUCCAAGAAUAUAUAAAAAGAAUAUCUAAACAUUAUCUCUUACUUUAUGAACGGUGUCAUAAUGUCAGAGUAUAUAAGGGUACAACAAGAACAAUUACUGUAAUUUCAUGGAAGCUGUUGUUCAUUAUCUUCUUGAUUGAUAUUGUAUAUAACAACGUAAAUAAAUGUACGGAAAUAAGAUAUAGGCUGUCAUUCUCAUCUCUUUUUUUCCAUCACAUGAUCAAGUCUUGUUCUUUGUUUUCUUUCCUUUUCUUUUUCCACUUCUGAUGUAUAAUUUAUUUCUUCUCCAUGUACCCAGCAGACAUGAUUUAAUUACAUUAUAGAAGCCAUUGACUUGCAUAGCUAAUAAAUUUAUUGUCUUAACUCUGACAAUAUGUACCCCACAAAGGGAUGGAUUUAUCAAAUUUCUAACCAGUGCACCACUCUUUUCUUCAGCCUUGAGAGCACUUACAGCAAAUCAAGCCCCCCUUCACACUGCUUCUUCAACUUCUAUGGAGCAAUAUUAGUAUUUUAAUUUAUUAUAUAUAGCUGUUUUGCAAUACAAUGUGAACUGAUCUGCAUCUUAUAUAAUCUUAAGUUGGGCAAUAGUUUUUUUUGCUCUGUAUGUAUGUAUAUGUUCGAUCAUUUUAGGUACAUAUGCACGUGUAUUUGUGGCAUCUCUAUUAAUUUCCUAUUAUUUAUGCUUGAUCUUAAUCGUUUUCUUUGCUGUUCAGGUUGCGGCUGAAUACAAGGGCCCAUUACUUCUAAUCCUAGAAUCUGAACUCUAAAACACAAAAUGUUUCCCAAUUUCUUGGAUUCAUCCUCCCCUCCAUGACAUCAAGGUUUUCAUUCCAGCCAAGCAGCCAAUAUAAUAGAGUAAAAAUUGUGGCCCCUAUUAUCUUGGACAAUAUAAACGAAUAAAUUUCAUGGUAAUGGCCAAGACAAUAUAAACAUAUUGGCUGAAUUUUUAAAUGCAUUUUGCCUCCUUAAGUAGGUUAUUUAAUUAGUAAAUUUCAAAAUCAAUGCUUAAAAAGGAUUGCUAAUCUUGGAUUUACCAUAUUAAUUGAUUUUUCAAUAUCUAGGUCCUAAAAUAUUGGUUGGGAUCUCGGAAAAUCUUGGAUCUUUCCAAACUCUCCAACAUCCAUCUUGGUCAAGAUAAACUGAGAUCUCGGUUCAUGUCAGUCUCGGUCAUCCACCAAGAUGACUGUCAUCUCAUUUUUAAAAGCCUUGCAUGAUGUUAAAGCAAUGAUCACAAUAGAUUUCCGAAUCUGGCUUGUUCAAAAAGAGGAAGAGAUGGAAAGUAAGAGGACAGGAAUGUGAGUAUGCAUGUCAAUUGGUGAAAUUGGACUUUUGGAUCCAAAAGAAACCAUGGGGAGUUGGUGUAUCCAUGCAUGCACCUCUUUGAGUCUUCAUGUAAUGUCUAGAGAGAAAGGAAUGGGAGCGCCAUGCAUCACCAAGGGAGAAUGAUGAGUGGGAGGCAUUCCAAUAAUAUGAUGUGUAGGUGCGUUGUGAGAAUGGACUGUUGUAGAGUUAGAGAGGGAGACGGAGGGAGAUAAGAGGUCUUUUCAUAUUAGGUUUUGCUUUAGGGUUUUACAUAUAGAAUGAUAUUUAUGUACCCUUUCUUGUUGCCGAUCCUCGGAUUGUUGAUGUAGAAUCCCUCCAUUCCAGGACCAAACCCCUAACCAAGUCAGUCAAGGCCUAGACUUGCUACUCGAGCCAGUUGAAUUGCUUGAUAGUCACCGGCGCUCGGAACGACGACGACAGCAUUGGUUUUGACAAUCGUGAUUGGGGAGGUUGGAUUCCCUCUGGGAACCAUGGGACGUAAUGGGAGACAUGUCAGAGAGGUUUCUCCUUCUAUGCGGCAUGGCUUUUCAUCCGCUUUCCCACCAACAGUCCCAAGCUACUGUCUUGCAGAUCCACAGAGGUGAUCCACAUAAGUGGUUUGAGGAUCGGCAAUAACACCCUUGUUAGUAUUAUUUUCAACAUGAGAUCUGCUAGGGCUAUUUAUAGGGUUUGUUUGAGAGUGAAAAUAAGUUUAGCAUUUGGAUGCAAAUUUCUCGAAAUUCCAGGUCCAAGCUAGUCCAAAAAAUCUUUCAAGCCUUAAUUUUCAGUCCCAAGCUCAGCCAUAAGCCUUUUGAAUCUUGGCCCCAAGCUCAAAUUUUUCAGAUUGGAUCUUUUGGUGGAUCAAGCCUGCCUGGUCCAUUAGCACUCUUAUUGGAAACCUGCACAGUCGUCAUUUAUUUGAGAUUCUGACAAUUAGAUUGUUGAUAUCUUGGGUAGCAAGAGGUGGUUGAGUUCUGGGUUGAGAGGAAAUGAUACCCACAUUGAUCAUAUUUCCUUCAACGAAAUUGAUAAUCUCGUAUGGUAUCUUCAUUGAUUUUAGGUCAUUGCAGCAAAGUCUGUAACUAUUUUAAGAAACAAUUUAUUGGUCAUCUGCAUGUUUGGGUUGCUUGGAUAUCUACAGGAAUGCAUUUUCAUUAUUGCUGAUUCUUUUGCAUUUAAUGAGAAUUUGGAUGGCUUUGCCAAUUGUGGUUAAAUGCCCAAAGUGAGACAUUUGGUAAGAGUACCUAGGAAGGAGGUUAAAAGAAUGGAACUAUAUAUGAUUAAUAAGAGUAUGGAGUUAAGAAUAGUGUAAACAUUGUGGAAUCAGAAUCCAGAACUACUUAUAUAUAUAGCUAAUGUCUAAAAGUUUGGCAUGGUGAUGAGCUGCUCGGUUUUCAUUUUCUUCUCUUGAGAUUUGGGAGCGUUGUUCUCAUUUAGAGCAUUAAUACAUCAUAGUAAAGGAUGCAAACAGGUUAGCUGUUCAAAUAGUUAAGAAAGGUGAUCGACUUUAUUGACCAUAAAACAAUAUUUAUUGAAUAUGAGUGCUUCUACAUCAAUAUGGGGAAAAGAUCAUGGAGAAAUAUACUCGUUUCUACAAUAACGAAGGUGCAGAAUAUAUUCUGUUGAAAAAUUAUGGGACCACCCAUAUCAUACCCUCUGGAGGCAUUUUGCAAGUCUACUUGCAUGAUGCAGGGUUCUGUAUCAUGUAUUGGCCAAUACCUGUUGGUAACUAUAGAUUGUUCCUGCUUGUAUCACUAAAAUAUUUGGUGGUCGUCGUGAAUUAGUAAUUUGUCAAGUUAGGUUCAACUUUCCACCUUUACUCCCUGAGACAUAUCUGAAAGUCAUUGAACGAGCUACAGAGAGAGAGAGAGAGAGGAUUCUCUUAAGGUUCAAGACUGCACAUAGAUUUUGUGUUCUGUCACAUGAAAAUGCUAGGGUUUUUAUUCCUAGAAUCAAGAAAACAUGUUGAAUAAGCAUUCAUUCUUAUACUCUUCAAUAAGUCCAUGGAUUAAUGGUCAAAUCAUGGACAGGGUUUAGGAAUUUUAGAUGAACAUUUUUUCCUUCUUUUUACCUUAAAAUUCCACAAUUCUGUAGAUUGACCUUGUGUAAAGUCAUCCAAUUGUUUGUGAAAUAUAAUUGCUUGAUGGGUUGUCUGCAGACUCCAUUAAUGUAUAUAAUUUUUACAUAAAGUAUUGAUUAAUAAAAUAAGGCCAGACAUAUUAAUAAGAUUUCAUCUUCAAAAUGCUUGUUCUUUAUUUUACUUUUGGACUGGUUAGUUCUAUGCAAUGUUAAUUGCGUUGGUUUGGGUUAGAUUUCUUUAAGUGAUAGAACUUCAUGUCUUAUAUUUCAUCAACACUUCAAGUUGUGUUUAAUUUUAUGUAAGUUGUGGGUCAAAACUUCUUAUCUUAAAGUCUGAAAAAUUUCUAACUCCUCCUAGAUAACAACUUAAAGCAGACAAAGUUUUAGCCUUUUUGGCAGAUAUUUUUCCUUUGGCAUAUGCUGGGCAGUGUUAUGUAUUUUUUUUUUGUCAGCAUGUGAAUAUCAACAUGGUAUAAUACAGUGUAUAUAUGAUGCUAGCGUGAUUAGACAUAAAAAGCCUUGGUUUGUGAUGUAUCUUUAUAUGGAGUCCCUAUUGGUGAAAGGGUACCUGUGGACCUUCUUUACAGAAUAUUUUUAUAAUGGGCCAUAGUGUCUAUCCUUGGAGAAUGUGAGGACUAUACUCAAGUUUAUCUCUUUAUUAAUGAUGACCACCUCGCUAUUUGUCGCUUCUAGAGGCCAUGACAAAGAUGAAAUAACUUUAAGCAUCACGUAGUGUUUGCAAAAUGAAGGGUUUGAUGAUGUGAAAAAGUCGUUAAUACUUGAUCAUGGAAUUAGUUGCAUAAUGAUCUCAUUGUUGGUUUACAUUUAUAAGAUGUAUGUUUCAGUAGCUUUAUCAUGAGCUACUACAGUUUGAGGUAAAGUCUCAUAGGAUGUUUUAUGAAUCGGAGCCGAAGGAUGAGCCAUAAAGAUGGCUUGUGCACAUGGUCUUGGCAUCAGUAAGAUAGAUUUUUCUUCAUUCAGUAAAACGAGCACAUGGUUCAAGUUUUAUAGUCAUCCUAAUGGAGAACAAGAUAACGGAGAGAGAUUAUUUCAGAUGAUACUGUUUUGUGCAUUAGAGUCUGGAGUACUCAUUGAGGAAACGUUCUUAUUUGUGUAUGUCUUAAGUAAGAGAAGUAAAUUCAUACUUAUUGUAAUAGAAUAGGUUAUAGCUGUAAUUGAAAUGGAAGGCUUGUUUCUAGUUACAAUUAAGGGAAUCAUGUUGACUGUUGAGUCUCAGUCAAUCAGUUUUUUGCAGUCCACUAUUUUGUUUGUCUGGAAAAGAUGUUUUUGGGGAAAUUGUUUUGAUCUUCAAAAAGAAUAUUGGAGUUGCAAUAUCAUGGAGGCUGUUAGAUUUUUGGUAUUUCUUUCAGUUAUAUUCUCAUUACAAUUCUUAUUUAGUUGCCUUUUAGACGAUCUAUAUUGUAUGAUGUUGUUGUGUGUAUACUUCUCAAUUUUUGUUAUUUUUAAUUGUAGAAUGUUGCAUACCAUGCUCAGUAAACAUGCAAUUUUUUCCUUUUGUUCUUAAUAUUUUUAUGGACAAUUCUUUGGGAAUAAGUCUUGGUUAAGUUGGGCUAAUAUAUGAUUUUGCUGAAGCAGAUGGUAGCUAAAGUUUGUGUCCUAAGAUUUUCAGGAAAAGCUUCAAUUUUGCAUACAGUGGUGGACGAUUUGGACUAUGAUAAUUUCAUGUUAUCUACUGCUAAAAGUUGUAUCCUAAGGUUUUCAGGAAAAGCUUCAAUCCAUCUCACAAUGAUGGACCAUUUUGACUCCGCUAAUUUUAUGUUAUCUAGUCUUGAUAGUCCUCAACAGAAGCAGCCUACUGCAGUUACAGUAGCUUUAUAUGAAUUCCUGCACAUAUGACUGACUUAUCCUCUACUUCAGGGAUGAGAUUUGCCUCACAGUACUCUCCAAUGUCAGAAGAUUCAGAUGAUUCCCGAUACUGCGAAACCCCAUUAAACACCACCGCCAUCCAGUCUGAUGUCAUGAGUAACCCUACCAGUCCAGUUUCUCCCCACAGGCAUCAGAAAGUGACGGUGUUCUCUUCUUCCAAUCCUUACCCUCUUCCUAGCUGCACCCUUGCCUCUGUUGUCUGCUCCCAUCCACGCCACCAACGUGGAUCAGACUCAGAAGGUCGCUUCCCAUCUUCACCAAAUGAUGUGUGCCACACAGCAGACCUCAGACGGGCUGCGCUGUUGAGAUCGGUGCAGAUGAGAGCACAGCCUCAUUGCCCACCUGCAUAUGAGUUGCCUUUUAAUGGCGGGCAAGAGAAUAUUCAGAGUGUAGAAGAUGGGGAAGACCGGUCCUUCUCAUGUAUUAAAACUCUAGAUGAUGAAACUGGUUAUCAAAGCCCGGAACCUGAAGCAGAUUUCAUUGAGGAUUGCUCAUCGAUGGAGGGUCUCUCAGAGUCGAAGCUUAGCCAAGUGUAAAUAUCAUGUGGUGUUAUUCAGGCAUGGGAAGUUUAGAGAGUAUGUGGAAGAGAAGGCACUGAAGGAAAAUGGUGUCGUAAAAUGGAUCAACAGUUCAGCUUGUUCCAAGAGAUGAUGCAGAUAUUUCUCUUGGACUCAUGGACUCGCCAGAAUUCUCUUGUACAUCUGGAGGGAGGCGUGUUGAUCCUUUUUCUUUUUUAUUUGUACAAAUCUACAUGCUAACUUUUGGAGCCAAAGGAAUGCUCUUGAACUUUGCUUGAUUGUUAAAAUUGCUCGACAUGCAGGAACUAGGUCAAGUAUUCCUUUAUGAGGUGCCACUGCCCUUUAAAAUUCAGAUGCAAGUUAGUUCUGAUAUCACUUGAACAAAAUAUUCAGGUUUGCUGGCUUGUGUAGGUUUUGCUGUUUUUAGAGCAUGAAUAUCAAAUGUCCCCAAGUGGUUCAUCAUUUGUGAAUUUGGUGGCAAUAUUAUGUAUCUAGUGUCAUUAUUUUAUAAAUUUUGUUUUAUUUGUCCAUUUAAGCUUGCCAAUCGAAGUAUUAAUUUAGUACAAGCCAAAAGCCUUGUGUGUCUGGAAGUGCAUCUGGUUAAUUUAGAGAGCUUCUGGUAGGUGACUCAUCCAAGUCAUAACAGCUUGCACUAGUGAUAAUUUCGGUUCGCCGGUGGGGGCUAUAUUUUGGUAUACGUGAAGUUUUGGAAUCCCAUGUCACAAGUCCCAGCAACUUCAGAUGAUACUUCUAAAUGGAUUUUGAAGAAUAUUACAAUUUUUUUCCAGCUUCAGCAUUGCUUUAGAGCAUUGGAUUGAAUGAGGUGCUUUUCUUUUCCUUCUCUCUGAAGUAACUUGAUACACCUCAUAUUGACUAGAGGCCUAACAGCACUGUGCUUGGGUACUACCAUUACCUUAUUAUUGUCCACCUCGCUGGGAAGUAUUCAUCUGGACUUGCAAGGAUCUGGCACCAGCAGAAACAAAGAUCCAAGAUGUCAACAAUCUUCAAUAAUCUCUUUUAUUACACAUCGAAAACUUCUAAGAUCACCCGCAAUUAACAAAUUGGUUCGGUCACCAUGGUGAGAAAUUUUUCCCUUUUGUUUCCUUUUACUUGAUUACCCACUUCACAUGUUCUCCAUCUAUUGUGUCACCAACAAUAUCUGGACUCUUGGGGGAGGUGGAAUCAUGGUGACUAAACCAUAAGUAAGCAUAUCAACAAGUUGUAUGAGCAGGUCAUUUAUCAACAACCAUGCCAUCUAAACUUUCUUUCAGCACCAACCACCAUGUCCGCAAACAUUUUCAGUAUCAACAAGCUUUCAUUCAGUGAAAACAGUGAAAACCUAGAAAGAGUUCAAUUGAACUUUAAUAUCAGUAUGCACAGGCUAGGACCAGAGUGCAAUCUUUGCCACAGUAAGAUGGCUAGAGGCCUCGAAAAAACCAAGUCAUUUAAGGUUCUUCCAUGCAAAAUUAGGCUGUUGAUGCCAUCCCUUGUUAAAAGGAAAUAUACAUCAUUAGGAGGCCAGAAUGACUACAUAUUUCUAUCUUCUUGGAUCAAGUCCAGCCCCGAUGCAUCAAAGGAACAGGUUCUUGAAUUUGCCAUUUGCAAGCUGGCAUAGCCCAUUAUAUGCUAAGGUAUCUGCAAGAGAAGAAAAAAAAACUUUUUGAGACAGAAAAAAUAACACGAGAUUUUUUUUAAAAAAAAUUAAGAUAACUCAUAUGCUAAGAGAAUGAUCUAUAGUGUAAGCAAAGUUUAAAUUUUGGUGAAUUUUCACUGCCUGAAUAGCAAGUAAAGACUAAGAAAUCACAAUGACUUUUUAACCAAACAGAUACUAAUUCUGAACAAAGUAUCUGAUCGUAGCUGCAACCAACAUAAGAGAUCCAAUAGUAUGUAGAAAAGGACAUUUCCUUAUUAUUUUUAUUUUAAAAUUUUAUGGAAGUACUUAGCUCCUUGCUUAUCUCCAUUAAGCAAGAUAAUUUUGAAAAAUAUAUAGUAUAAGAAAAUCCAUGCUCCAGUUAAGGAUGAAGAUGUAAGGUUGCUCUCAUAGCUGUUAAUUUAGAAAGAAGAAGGCAUAUGUUAAAGGGACCAAUACGAAAAUUCAUAUGGAAAACUAACUAAUAAGUCUAUUUUCUAUAGAUAGAUGUAAUGUAAAGGGAACCUUCAUAUAUCAGUUAAUUUUAAACAAACAGUUGACUAAGAAAAAGUUCCAGCAACCACCAUGGAUGAAUGCCACUUUGUUGUUUUCAUAAAACGAAUUCAAUAUAUAGGACCAAAGGUACCUAGUAAGAUUAACAAUUGGUCAUUUCUUUGUUCUUUUUAUUUUCCUUCUCUUUCAAUAAUCAACCUAUGCUCAUUUCUCAUCCCAAUCAGAAUAAUGUGGAAAAUGUCAGUAGAAAUAAUAAACAAUAAUGUUGACAUACCAAGGAUUUGAAGGUUUCAGGAGCACAGAGGGAUAAAAAAAAGAGGGACAGAGUAAGCAAAUAAAACAUUAAAAGAGCAGCUCAAAGUAAAUUACCAAAUGUAUCACCGAAGUCAGUGCAAAUUUCAGCACGAAUUGAUUGAUUUCCAUCAGCAAUACCAAUAACCUCGACAAAAUGUGACAGAGGGAAGGCUUGAGAAACCUUUACAGUUAACUGACCCCCAUCAGUUGAUUGCCCUAUGGUGAGCCCACCUUCAUUUCGCAUAACUUGAACCACUGCCCGAACUCUCCGUCCCUGGUACAUCUUCAGAAGCUCUGCAUUCACGAAAACGGCAGGGCUGGAUGUAUCCAUUAUCUGCAAAGCAUGUUAGGCAAAAUUGAAAAUGCUUCAAACUUCAGGUAUUAAAUUUUGAUGCUCAACAAUUGCAUACCAAAUGCUUGAUGUCAGUAACUUUAAGUCCCCUUACUGGAAUAUAUUUAGUAACAGUAAAGAAACAAAAAGAAUAAAUCACUGAGAUAGACAAGGCAGCUUGCAGAGAUAGCUAAAGCAAAGGACAGAAAAACACAUUGCUAAUAAAAAAGCACUCUCAGAUAAAAAUCCUUAUACGGACACUAAGAAUUCAAGUCAAUAACAGAUGUUUGAUCACUUUUCAUAGAUAUACUUAGAAGCUAGUCAUAAAGAUUCCUUCUGUGAAAGAACUAGAUUAAUGUUCUAUUCAUUCACAGAUAAAAGUGUUCUGACCCUUGUGUCGCGAUGCAUAUCAUUCUCAGAUAAAGUGUUCUGACCCUUGUGUCGCGAUGCAUAACAUAACACUGCAAAAUAUGAUUCCCUUGACAGUUGACAGACCUAUACAGCAAUGGUCACUCAAUUGCAGAGGAGUUAUUGUGAGAUUUGCUAAAAAUCACUACACUUAUCCUAACUAAUAUUUCUCUCUAAUGCCCGAAACAUGAAGACUGUAAUGAAACAUUACCCUUAUGUUGUGAAAACAUAUCACCACAAAAUUUGAUAACCUGGACAGUCCUAUACAGCAAUUGUCACUCAACUGCUAAGGGAUUGUUGCAAGAACAGCUAAAGAUCACCACACUUCUUCUAACUAAUAGUUCUCUCUAAUGCCCAAAUUAUAAAGACAAUAAUGGAACAUUAUAGUUAAUUAAUGUAACCAUAUAAAAUAAACUCGAGACAUCACCUUGUAAAAUUUACAGCUAUGUUAUGAAUAUGAACAAACUGCAAAGUGGAGUGACAAUGUCCUUAACAUUUCAACAAGCUCAUAUAAUUCUUUUUACACAUGCAAUUUGAUAAUAUAUAAUCGUGUAGGAUGACCAUGUUAAAUACACUUAUAAUGGCAUUCUGUUGCUCUUAUAAUUGCAAGCUCAACCUCCACCAAAAUUAAUAUUUGUAUCAGAAGCACCGGGCAGCAUCAACUAGUCUACUGCAAUGUUGCAGUGAAGUUGACAUCGCCUGGCAGCAAAUGAUGUCCAAUGAUAGUAAAAUAAUGGCAUUAUUUGAUUAUUUCACUGCUUAGAAAAUCAAAUAUUCCUUCCAGAGCUGAUAUGGAGAUUUUUUUGAGAAGGAUGAGAACCAAAAAGAUGAUUUGAAUAUAAGAAACAAUGUUUCAAGUGGAGGAACACAGAAAAUAUCCAAAAAUAGUCACUAUUCAUGCCAUAUAACAGCCAUUGUAACAGGAUAGCAGCUAACUUCCAGCCAUUUAUAUUAUCCAUCAUGUAUACACAUACAAAGUAAUGAAUAAUGACUGUUAUUCUAAAUUUCUUCAAACAGUCAGAUCAAGAGAAAUAUAACGUAUAGAUCUUUUUUCAUCAAAAUUUUUGGCAUCAGAGAGUUUUAAUUCAAUGAAAGAACAGCAACAUAUCCCGUUCUUAAACCACAACAAAUACUAAAAUCAACAAAACAAAAUGUUUAACAACACGUAUUAUAAGAAAAAAAGGAGCGGUUAUGGCACAUCACAUCACAUAUAAAUGGGUCCAAUCCAGGGAUAAAACAAAGAAAAGAAAAAAAAAUCCACAAGAAACUGACCUAAAUAGAUAUGUUUUGGUACCAAGAAAACAUUUUUUUUCCUCUAAAAGGAACAAUUUAGAGAUUGUAAAAUGUUUCACGGAGAGAAGGAAAGAUGCUCAAAUUUCGAUAGAAGACCAAAAUUAGAAAGCUGCAAUGGGGGAGAAACAGAUCAAUACCUUGUAGAUGGGUCGAAACCCUCAAGCAGCGAUCGGAAGAAAAGAGCGGAGAAGGGUUUUGAACUUUUGAUGAAGUUAGGUUUUGACGUUUGCGCCGCGAAAUGCAGCCAGGGAAUCAAAUCGAAAGGUUUUCGUCAUUCGGCGCCGCUUGGUCCGCCUAGGGUUCGGGUUUCGCGCCAUAAUAUGGCUUUCGCGCGGUCGGCCAUCAACCACCCCACCGCAUCAAGAUACGCUCUGGCUUGAUGAUGGAAGGAAGACUGAGUUUUUUUUUUUUUUUUGAGUAGACUGAGUUAAUCACCCUGGCCGCAUAUAGUUGAGGUUAUAAAAUGUUGUUUUAGAAACUUCACUCAAUUUUUAUAAGAUAAACCGCAUGAAAACACUAAUUUUUUAGCCGCCAUCUAAUUCAUAAAUAAUUCAGGGAUUUAUUGCUGAAUUUCAUAAAGAAGUUGUACGUAUGGUAACCUUAAAUAGUUUUGGAGCCACCAUAUGGAAACAUGAAUUUUUUGAAUUAUCAAAUUAUUCGAUGUUAUAUGGUUAUCCUAGAAUAGUUUUGAGAUCACCACAUGAAAAAGUGAAUUUUUUUUUUGGAUCACCAUUAAUUGAUGAAUACUGGAGGGCCUUAUUGUUAAACUUUACCAUUAAAGGCGUCAUAGAGGGACUCAAACAAUAUUGUAACUUCCUUUUCAUUUGAACAAUAUCCUGACAAAUUUCAUAUUUUUUGAUUCAAUGAGAAGCUAUGGGAUGUUAGACUUUGCUAAGCCUUCAUAAUCUCUAAUUGAUUCAACUUUAGAAACUCAGUUUUGCUUACCCUAUUCUCUAAUUGAACUGAUUUCUGUACCUGCCACUUGAAGAGUCAAGCCUGAGCUCCAGAGGUGAUGGGCCCAGUUCACUUGAUGCCAUGGUGGCUGCACUCACUCUGGUUUGCUAUUUCCUUCAGCUUUCCUCAAGAGGGAAGUGGUUAUCUAAACUUUUCCAGCAUCCAUAUUCCAUCUGCUUUAGCUUUUAUAAAUAGAUUCCAGGAGCAGAGCAGCACUUCAAUUGCACCACUUCUAUCUUAUUUAAAAUGGCAGCUAGAUGAGGGACAUGACAUCAUGAAUAUAGAUUUCUUGUAACAAUUAUAAUGGAAAAUCUUGUAAUCUUUCAUGCCGUUCUAUAUCCCAGUGGUAGCUUAAAAAAACAACCACUCGUUUCCUUUUUUUUUUUUGUAAAAAAAAGGGGGAAUGAGGACUCACCAAUGGCAGAUAUCAUAUGAACACAAUGAUAGGGAUGAAGUAAUGUUACAUUCAACAGUGGCAAAGAUAAUUAGAUGACAGUAACCAUGAAAACAAACAAACAAAACAAAACAAAACAAAACAAAAAAAAGAUGUAGCAUGUAACAGAGAACGAAAUAAAAACCGACUUGAAGCGGUAGCAGCAACGAAGUGGGAUAAAGCUCAGGAAUCCAGUACUCUUGGCUUUUAAACCAUGGCAAAGAUUUGGAUCUUUUGAUGAAUUGCUGCCUUCCAGAUUGACUUGGCAGGUAACUCCACCGUUUUCUACGAAGCUGCUCCAUUCCAAGAAUCAACGUCUACAUCCCGGAGCUGAGCAAUGGUGGCUUCCUUUUAAUUUACGACAGCAAAUUGUAAUGCCGUUGCCAGGUGCGAAACCGAAACCGAUCAUAAAAGGCUCCGCUCCUUGCAUUUAGGGCUCGUUUGGCUCGCAGGAAGCAUUUUCCCUCCUAGGAAUAUGAUUCCUGAGAAGCAGAUUCCUAAAAAGAGGAUGCCUGAGAAAGUACUUUUAGUAUGUUUGGUUAAUCAUGGAAAAGUGACAGAUUUCCAAAGUGCUUAUGUUUGGUUGACCAUCCACCUUCCUAAAAAAGUUAUGUGUAAUUCCUAUUAUACCCUUANNNNNNNNNNNNNNNNNNNNNNNNNNNNNNNNNNNNNNNNNNNNNNNNNNNNNNNNNNNNNNNNNNNNNNNNNNNNNNNNNNNNNNNNNNNNNNNNNNNNNNNNNNNNNNNNNNNNNNNNNNNNNNNNNNNNNNNNNNNNNNNNNNNNNNNNNNNNNNNNNNNNNNNNNNNNNNNNNNNNNNNNNNNNNNNNNNNNNNNNNNNNNNNNNNNNNNNNNNNNNNNNNNNNNNNNNNNNNNNNNNNNNNNNNNNNNNNNNNNNNNNNNNNNNNNNNNNNNNNNNNNNNNNNNNNNNNNNNNNNNNNNNNNNNNNNNNNNNNNNNNNNNNNNNNNNNNNNNNNNNNNNNNNNNNNNNNNNNNNNNNNNNNNNNNNNNNNNNNNNNNNNNNNNNNNNNNNNNNNNNNNNNNNNNNNNNNNNNNNNNNNNNNNNNNNNNNNNNNNNNNNNNNNNNNNNNNNNNNNNNNNNNNNNNNNNNNNNNNNNNNNNNNNNNNNNNNNNNNCAUCGACAAUGAGGAUGGAGAGGUGGUGUGGAUUAGGGAUGGGAGGAGGUGGAAGAAAGGUUGGCCGGAGACGGAUUGGUGAUGGUGGGGUGACAACGGCGUGGUGGAGCAGAGAUGGGAGGCAAUGGUGGAGUCCCCGGUGGGGGAGAGAGAGAGAGAGAAAUAAGGUAAUCCAGACAAAGAAUUUCUUCAUUGCUCCUUUCUUACUCCACACACUGUUUCAAUGGCGAGCGAACUUUGUCACUUUUCCACCAUAUUUUCAAUCCAAGAGCCAGAAUCGGUACUAAUCCGGCAUUAGUAACGGUUCUGGCUUGGUCCAUCCGUCCCUCGUUGGUGUGAUCAUCAGGGAACAACAGAAGGAAGACAAUGGCCAUUAAUAACAAGUACGAAGAGAAAAAAAAUUAGAAAAUUAUGUUGCAUGACACCAAGCUAUCUAAAAUGUUAGGAUGCAACCGUUCCCGUCUUUCCAGGCCGGCACCAACCGGGACAGCCAGGAUCUUCCGGUCCAGAGAGAACCAGUCCAUGGAUGCUCAAAUGAAAUGCUUUCGUAAUCUACCAUACACGAGGCGGGGAACACUUUAAACUGCUCUCAAGAAAAUAACACGACAAUCGCAAGGAUCCGCCCUGCUUGUUUUAAGGUAAGCCAAUCUCUGUAAGUUAUGAUUAAAUCAUUUAAAAACAACGUAAUUAAAAUCCCUGGUAAUUGCCAAUAAUUAUGCAAACUUUAACGUCUAACAUGAGGCCCUGCUACACAUAAACUCACUUGGUUACAGUAAUAUUAACCUCAAAAUGUUUCUCUAAAGCAUUAAAUUAUAAAAGAAGCCUGCAUCUCCCCAAGCUGAUAGGAUGUUCUUCUUAAUGAUGAGCUCGUCUGCCUCGGAUGGGCUGAUCGAUUAUAACUCACUUGGUCCCAGUCAUAUUAACUCCAAAAUGUUUCUCUAAAACAUUAAAUUAUAAAAGAAGCCUGCAUGUCCCUAAGCAGCAAAAGUUGAUAGAAUGUUCUUCUUAAUGAUGAACUCAUCUGCCUUGGACGGGCUGAUCGACUGCCAUCAGACAAAUAGUAAAUAUUUCUCCGUCUUAGAACAAUAUAUAACAGCUUAGAAAUAUCUAAUAUGUUUGAGAUUCAUUUCCGGACAAACUAAAAGGAAAAGGAAAAUUGUGCCACCCACCUUAUCCAGCAUGCGUUGGAGCCGCUCAAUUUCAUUUUUGGCAUACUCAGAACCUUUUGCAAUGCAGCUUUUUGCAGCCUUCAGAUAGGUCUUACCAUACCUGACAUAGACGGCAAGUCAAAUUUCCAAGUAAACUAAGAAUCAAUUAAUUAGCAGUGCAUCUGGAAACAUGGCUGCAAAUGGAUGUAAUCGAGGUUUUUAAGGCACUAAUUCGAUUUUCAUUUCAUCCCUUCAGGUGAGUUUCAAUUUCCACACUGACUUUCAAAGCUUCAGUGGGGAAAAACAGUCAAAAAAAUAUCAGAACAAAAAAAAAGAAGAAGAAGAGUUACUUCAUGUCAUUCCAUUAUAUUUUGAGUUAUUUAGAAUCGUAUGUGUAGGUUAGACAACUUUAAGUAAAACUAAACUGUUUUAAAGCUUACUAUAUUAAAUAUAUUUAUACCUUCUCUAAUUUUUAUAUAACUAUCCCACACUUUCUCUAAUUUGAAUAAAUUCUGAACAUUUUAUUUUCCUGAUUUGUGCAUAUUUUCUUCGUUUCUAACAUUUGACUCUUAUCUAAGCAUAUUUCAUUUAUCUCAUUUUAGAGACUCAUCUAAGCAAGAGAGAAACCAUUUAAGCAUAUUCCAUUAACAGCCAAAUUAAGCCAAAAAUAAAAUGAUCCAUCCAAAAAAAAAUAUUUCACUAUUUCAUUUCAUACAACAUAUUAUUCUAAAACAAGAAAAAAGAAAAUUUGCUUAAGUAGAAAAAGAUCUAUAAGAGUACACAAUACUUUCUAGGGGCCUAUUUGGAUAUUCCUAUAGGAUUGAGCUGAAAAUCCUACAGGAUUCGGGCCUAUUAGCCCAUCUAGCAUGCAUGUUCUAAAAGCCUACACAAAUCUCAACCUUUGGACUGCAGAAAGAAAAAAGAACCUCCAUGGGUCCCACAGAAUUUGAGCUAGGAGAUGUUUGGUUGAUAGAGCUAUGCUUAAAUGAGCAGUCCAAUCCACGAAUCCUAUAUAAUUUUCAGCCCAAUCCUAUAGAAAAAUCCUACAGGCCCUGACUAGUAAAGAUACACAUCAAGAUUGCAUUUUGCACACUACAAUAAUAAAGCAUAGCCAAGAAUAACAUAAAUUUGAUCAUUAGAGCCUUAAAUGCAUAUGAAAUUGAAAACCAUUAACAAAUACUACAAACAAAACAAAAAUAUUGAACAUUUAUACCUAUUAAAUGAAAAGGAAAAGAUUAAAAAAUAUAAGUUUUGCCCUACUAGAAGUGGUGAAACCAGUCAAAACCAGCUGAAACCAUAAAAUUGGAAAUUUCAAUCAGUUUGGGACCAAUCUCUGCCAAAACCGAUCCAUUAUCAGUUUUCAAACCUUGGAUGUAAUGUUGUUGCUUGGUUUAGUCAACGGAGAUCAAGACCUUAUGUGCAUCCACAGUGAAAGCAAAUACAGAACUAAUUUUAAGCUCCAUUAUUAAGAGAGAGAAAAAACAAAUGCCUACCAAACUUAGUAAUAACUUGAUGUAUUUUUUAUUACAAGAUACUGCAGACGUUUUAAUACAAUUCAAUUGCAUGAACAAUUAAUAUAGAAAAUUUCCCAUUAGAAAUAAAUAUAAAAAGUUCCUUUUUUGAAAAUCGAUGCAUCCUGCAUUUCCCAAUGCCUAGUCCAAAGCAACAAAAAAAGCAAUACUGGGGCCACAUACCCUACCUCCCAACAACCAGAAAUGCAGUACAAACUCAACGACCGACACCCUAUUUCCACUUCAGGUCCCUGAAGAGAUGAUGUCAAAUGAUUCCCACUAGGAAAUGUUCCGAUAUCAAGCUACCAUCUCAUCCAUACCAGGCACAUGAGGAGGAAAUGUAACAUAUAUAUUUUUUUCUCAUUUGACUAGAAGAUAAAAGGGCCAAGGGCUACAUUGCGGUCAAAGAUACACCUACUCAACCCAUGGAAACAUGGUGCCCAGACCUAAACUGACUCUAUUCAAGGAGUACAGUGUGUACUGUGGUACGCCCCCACCCCCAUAUUUGCUCAUGAUUUGCCAGUACAAUGUGGUACAACAUGCAAUACAAGGUGGUACAUAGUCCAGUACAUUAUGUACCGCAGUAAGCUCGCUUCCUCACACGUGCAGCAAUACAAUGUGUACAGUGGUACGCUUGGUCCACGAUGAAGAGAGAUUGAGGAGAUACAUGACUGUAAAUAAAUAACUGUAGGGAGCAUUGUGGAGACAGAUUCUGCAAAGAACGAAUGAGGAGCAAUUUCUUUUGACUUAAGCAGAAGGACAAAUAUUUUAAUAUUGGGUGUUCUGGUAGAAAUCUGGAGAUUAAUAAUCAAGAAAAAUCUACAGCUAUAGGUACAUAUUUAAUUAAAUUUAAGAUCAUUAUUUUGUGAAGACUUCUAAUGAACUUGUGCUUAACUUUGGUGAAGGCUGGUUGUACUCUGGAAGUCUGGGAGAUCGGGGUAGUUUGAGAUGACCAAUGACGUUCAUACCACACAUAUAAUAACAAAAAAUCACAAACUAAAAUCAGAGAGUUAACUUCUGUUUCUCAUAUUCAUGAGGAUUUCCUUAUACAAGGAUUGUACCAUUCAAAUAAUUGGUGAAAUGCUAUUUUUAUUGAUACUAUUAAGUAAAAUAGGAAAUGAAAUUCCCUAGACAUAAGACACCUAUUAUGCAGACCAAUGGAGCCCACGAGGCCAGCUUGUGUCAAAAUUUUUACCAUUGACCAUCCCCUAAGAAAAACAAGUUUUCUCCAUAAUAUGCAUCUAUUUGCAAGAAGAAAAGACACAAACACUGUUCUGCAUCAAGUGAUUUAUUUCGGCAUCCAUGGAAUACAUUCCUUUACCAAUUGGGUUAAAUCAUUUCCUAGUAAACACCUUUCUGACUUAGUGAUGACCGGCUUAGCAGCAUGGCUAAGAAACCAAAAAAGUCCUACUCUCACUAGAAUACGAAGGACAUGGAAGAAGAAAACCAGAAGUGACAAGAAUGUAUCAGCCGUUCAAUUUUGUGUACAACAUACAUCAUUCCAACAAUACUGCAAGCCAUAUGAAUAAGGUCCUAUUUUGUUUUUAAUGAUAACACAAAAACCGGAUAAAUAAACAUGCUUGUCAGAACAGUGAUGGCUUAUUCAUUUCUUGGCCAGCGAAAAUGGAGACAGUAAUACAACAUUUACAGGAAGGAUAGAAAAAAAGAAAAAAAUCAGGACAAGAGUUGCAAAAUCCAAUUGAGAAUAAAUUUCAAAUUUGUUAAUAAUAUUUAUCAAUCCAAUUAGUAUUGAAGAUUCAACUGAAGAAAGAUGUUACCUUGCAGAAGAACCCUUGAGUUUCUCAACCUCCUCUUCCAUCCGAGAUAGGAUUGAUUUCCGCUCAUCAUUACUGGCGCUCACAAAUUCCUUCACCAAAGCAUCCAAGCCCGCUACAAUACCAGCCUACAGUAAUCAAACUUGACUAUUAAAGCAAAUUCAUUAACAAAAUACAAAAAAUGUAGGUUUGCAAAUUCGUAUCUACUACAAACUUGUGAAGUAAGUUUUCCUUUCGCAUCACGGUUUGUGCCACACUUCUCAUUGAUGAACAUAACAAAGUCAUCCAAGUCCCGGCCACCAUCGUAGUCUUCACCAGCUUUGUUGCCCUUUGGGAAAAACUUUAGUGUAGGAAAACCACUAACUCCAUAUCUGAAAUUACAUCGCAUGCAUACCAGUGUUAAAAAAAAGUCAUAUAGUCUUAGCAAUUUAAAUUGAAAUAUAAAAACCAAAAAUAAUGACAACAUUGCCAUACUAUGAUGUGUGAAAUAUUUCCGCAUAAACUCUAUUAUUUGGUAAAAUUUUUAACAACUAAUCAUCAUUGCUUCACUGUAUGGAUUUUCAAGAAAUCUACCUACAGCAUCCAUCAAUAAUGCACCAAUAUAAGAUGCAAAACAGUGCGAUCAAUGGUAAACUCAAAAUAUAAAACAAGCAAGGGUUGUUAAUUCUGCACUGCACAACAAGGUAAAGAAACACAUCCAAAUGGCCGAAUACAGCAACAGCUGGAAAUUAAAAAAGAAAUGAAUACUCAGUUGUGGAAAAAUCAGGGGCAAAUGAGAUUUCGAAAGAAAAUAUAGGACCUAUUUUUUUUAAUAUUUAUAUUUUGGAGGCCAUGGCAUUGAAUAGGAACCAACAAGUGGAGUACAGAAAUCCUCAAUAGGAUAACACUAAAUUAUGUUUCUAUCUGCAAUAAUAUCAAUUGUAUCAUAUAUGUCAAGGUAUUGAACUUAAAAGGAUGUCAUGCCAAUAUUUGACAUGCAAUUGCUGUUGCAUGAAUUGUUUUCCAGGGAAAAAGAAAAUAAGGAGCUUGAAGCAGCACAGGAGUAACGAGCAAGAAAUUAAUACAAUCAACAAACCUGUCCACAAGAAUAAUAAAGAUCAGACAAUAGAGAACCAGAUGAAAUAGUUUAGCCAUCUAAAUGAAAGUCAAAAAAUGGGCACAGAUCUUGGAUCAUAGUGUCUGAAAAAGAGGAACUGAAAAAAAAAACUUUCAUUAAAACACAAACAUGAAGAAAACAGCCUUUUCCGAAUGAAAUGCAAAACAGUAUGUGCAAAAUCAAUGCUAUCUAAGUGAAUAAAGCUUGUCCGAAUUGUUGCUGUGCAUUUAGAAUUUUUCUUUGUCCACAAAAACUAUAUAUUAAAGCUGAAAUCCAAUGACUUCAUUGAAGGAGAGCAAAUAAAGUGAAAGUCAUGCUUCCUUUGAAUGCAAAGUAGACAUUAUAAAUUUUAUUAGGAAGCUCUCUUGAUGGGCACAUGGGAAAGAACCUAAAUCCCAUUGAAAAUUGGAAAAUCAACAAUAUAAUGAAUCAUGAAUCAUGAUCAUAUCCUAGUCUGUAGGGCUGCAAUGGAAACACUGAAAUGCAAUAUUAGGUUAGCAACUUUAUUUCUGACUACAGUCAGCAGGUAUAACUCUCAUGUCCCUUUAUUACUGAUAACGUAACAAAACUGAACUGGGGAACCAAAUUUAUUUUGAAAUACUAAGCAUAAGAAACAAGACAAAUAUAAUUGUGAUAUCUAAUGGUCUUAAAAUUUUGGGGACUUGUAAACAUAAUUACAAAUUCUGAACUCACUUUUCAGCCAAAUCUCUGUAUUUGUCAGCAUCAAUGUUAGCAAUUACAACAUCCUCUUCCAACUUGUAUGCAGUAGCUACCUUCUCGUAUGUCUAUAAAGAAACAAAAGAUGAUUAAAAACUAGUAAAGCUACAAAAAGAUGAAGUACAUGACAAUGCUAUUACUCAUCAUAGUGGGCCAUUUUUUUUCCAAUGUUUCCUGGUUAUAUUUAUUUACUUACAGGAGCAAGGUUUUUGCAGUGGCCACACCUGUUGGGAAAACAAUCAUAAGAUUAUAUGUCAACAAGUAAAAAAUCCAAUGAAGCAAACAUAGCUAGGGCCAAACAGCCGUGAAGCUAAACUAACCAUGGUGCAUAAAACUCCACAAUGACAUCCUUAGUUUCAUCAAGGACAACCUGGUCGAAGUUAUCUGGUGUCAGUACUACUACACUAGAAGGAAGAGCUGCCACCUUCACAUUGGUCCCUGUAAUCAUAGACCAAUAAAUCUGUUAGGUAACAUCAACUCUUUUUUAAUCCACUUGUUGACAUGCAUGAACUAUCUCAUCAAGGACAAGAUGAUAUAUGGAACUUUUCAGCUCAUGAAACUGGAUAAUAUGAAAACAGAUAUUUAAAUGUACAAACUCAUGGGAACCAUCUUGCUUCAAAUGUUGGAUAGAAGGAAAACAGAAGGUAUUAAUAUGCCAAUGCAGUCAUACGCAGUAAUGUCGUGUCUCAUUCAGCAACUAACUAUAACAGGGUGAGUAGUAAUGGACAGAACUUCUUUGAACCUUUUAAGCCACAAGUAGCAUAAGAAUCCAGGGAAAACAUGAAAAGUACCAAAAUAAAGACAACUUAAGUAUACUUAGGCCCUGUUUGGGGGAGCUGUUGGCAGUAGAGCUGUUAGAAGUAGAGCUGUUGGAAGUAGAGCUGUCUGAAGUAGAGCUGUUAUAAAAAGCUGUUUGCUGUUUGGUAACUACAUUCGUAAAGUGCUGUGGNNNNNNNNNNNNNNNNNNNNNNNNNNNNNNNNNNNNNNNNNNNNNNNNNNNNNNNNNNNNNNNNNNNNNNNNNNNNNNNNNNNNNNNNNNNNNNNNNNNNNNNNNNNNNNNNNNNNNNNNNNNNNNNNNNNNNNNNNNNNNNNNNNNNNNNNNNNNNNNNNNNNNNNNNNNNNNNNNNNNNNNNNNNNNNNNNNNNNNNNNNNNNNNNNNNNNNNNNNNNNNNNNNNNNNNNNNNNNNNNNNNNNNNNNNNNNNNNNNNNNNNNNNNNNNNNNNNNNNNNNNNNNNNNNNNNNNNNNNNNNNNNNNNNNNNNNNNNNNNNNNNNNNNNNNNNNNNNNNNNNNNNNNNNNNNNNNNNNNNNNNNNNNNNNNNNNNNNNNNNNNNNNNNNNNNNNNNNNNNNNNNNNNNNNNNNNNNNNNNNNNNNNNNNNNNNNNNNNNNNNNNNNNNNNNNNNNNNNNNNNNNNNNNNNNNNNNNNNNNNNNNNNNNNNNNNNNNNNNNNNNNNNNNNNNNNNNNNNNNNNNNNNNNNNNNNNNNNNNNNNNNNNNNNNNNNNNNNNNNNNNNNNNNNNNNNNNNNNNNNNNNNNNNNNNNNNNNNNNNNNNNNNNNNNNNNNNNNNNNNNNNNNNNNNNNNNNNNNNNNNNNNNNNNNNNNNNNNNNNNNNNNNNNNNNNNNNNNNNNNNNNNNNNNNNNNNNNNNNNNNNNNNNNNNNNNNNNNNNNNNNNNNNNNNNNNNNNNNNNNNNNNNNNNNNNNNNNNNNNNNNNNNNNNNNNNNNNNNNNNNNNNNNNNNNNNNNNNNNNNNNNAAUUUUCCAUAAAAUAAUUUUCCGCGGUCCAGGGGCUCUUCUUCGUGGUCCACGCACGAGGAGGACCUCAGCGUGGGCCGCGAGGUUGAUGUUUAAAAAAAAAAACAAUAGAUUGAUUUUGGAAGGUAUGGAAAAGGAUUAAAAUUUUUUUCUUCUAAAAUGUGGUUCAAGAGAUGCAUACAAAAAUUGAAAAGAAAAAUACAUUUUCUUAUGGAAGGGAGUCUGACGGCUAGGGUUCUUGGCUCCGGCAGAUAUUUAGGUUUAUAAAGGGACAAACUAUGUAAUUAUGUUAUUUUAAUAUGGGCAUUUUUGUCAAAAAUACAGCUUUCCGAAAAAGCUGAAACAGCUUUCCCCCAAAAGCUCCAAAUUGGAGCUUCCUCCCAAAAGCUGUUUUCAGCUUCCCGCAAAAGCUGAAACAGCUUUUUUGAAAAAUUUACCAAACACAGUUUUUAAUCUAAAAGUACUUUUGGAGGGCCAGAAAGUGCUUUCUGGCCCUCCAAAAGCUCCCCCAAACAGGGCCUUACUGACUGUCGCAAGGCAAAAUCCACUUUCAACAUUACAUGCAGGAAAGACACAACCAAGCAGGAAUUUGAGCAGGAGAUGCACCUUCCUAUCCUAGAAAAUCUACUGUCUGCUAUAUUAGAAGGGGAAAAGGCCUCAUAGUCCAGCAAUAUGCUAGACUCUGAAGCUUUUACCUAACAUUUAUUUAAUAUUUUGGAUGCGGCUGGCAUCCAGCAAGAUAGUUCAUCUUUUCAUAAUUGCUAAUGAAAAUGAGAAGGAAAGAAAAAUGUAAGCAGGCCAAAGUAGUAACAAAGCACGUGAAUGACACAUGCAUAUACUAGUCAGCGAAUAAUUGAAAGAUCAAGCAAGAAGUUUCAUUCACAUCUAUUUCUUCGUCACUUACAAUCCCUGGCAGUCCAGAUAUAUAUAAUGUACUAUUUAUCAUAUAUAACAUCAGAUUGAUCGCAGCAUACAGUAUGAUAAACUAUAUGCAACAUUAUAUGUGCCAGCUACACCUAAUACAGAUAGAACAAGCUGAAUUCAUUUAUCUCAUAAAGAGCAGUCUAGUUCCUGCAUUUAAGAUGGAUAAUUACAGCCCUUCAGAAACCCUUCAAAAAUUGUAACUUAAAGAAUAGCAAAUUUUGCAAUCAUUUUUCAAUUAGUAGGAAAAACAGGAAAAAAUAUUUUUAAAAAGAAAGCUAUGAUCAUAUUUCACUUGAUGAGCUAUAAACUUCUCUCUAUACUAUGUAAUAAGAUAAGUUGACAUGCAUACUUCUGGAUUAAGUUUAUGAACAUACAAAAAAACAAUACAAAAUUAAUACUGAUGUACUAAAUGCAAGUAUGAUUUAGAUAAUGAAAUGAAGUCAGAUGUGAGCAUAACUAUAUUUAUCAUACUAGUAUCUUUUUCUUGUGAUUAUGAGUUUUUUUACUGGUGUUAUGUUUACAUAUGCUUGUUUUCGAAUGCAUUUUUUUUUGUAUGUUUUAAGCAGUUCCAUCUCUGAAUAGCACAAAGUUGGAUUUGAUCUGAAUCAUUAGCACAUAUACAUUUUGAACAGCUCAGCUUGCACCAAGCAAAGUUUUUUUAACUAGAAUUGUGUAUUAGGUCAAAUGGACCCAUUUUGAUGGUCACAUUCAAGUCAGUCCCCAGUCAGCUAUGUUACAUGGGUUCGGGUAUGGGUGUCGGGUGUGGGUAUGUGUUUAGGGGUCAGAUCCAUCAUAUCCCUUAGGAUAUGAGGACUUGCUUUAAAAAGGAACCAAAAAUGGAUAGGAGUAUGUGGACAUGUUAUCUCCAUCAUAUCAUGUUUUAGACCAUGAUGCAUAUUUUGAAAUUUUUUGGUUGUGGCAUACAUAAUUAUAUUUAAUUGAUAGAAACUUAUUUUUCUUUAUACAUAAGUCAGGAAUUAAAAAGCAAAUUUGCAUCAAAAGAAGGGUAGAUCUAAAUAGUAAACUGUAGGUGAAACAGCGACAGAAAUAUAAACUUCUAAUUUAAGUGGAUGGCAUCACAACCAUUCACCUUAUUUCUAUUAUUAAAUAGAGUGCAUCUCAUGUGCCAUCAGCUUACUAAUAAAGUGAGCUAACCUUAAGCCUUUUCCCUUUCUCAUCUCUCUUGAUGGCUCAAACUCGGCUGCCUGCAACCUCCUUGGAUAUCCUGUUCAACAAGCAGAAUGAUUGACGGCCAUUCUCCACCAUCCACCAGCUACACAAUCAUCCUAAUUGAGCCCAGUGGCAGCCGGCCUCAUCAGAGGUGGGUGAUAUGAAAGCCCUCUCUCUCUCUCUCUCUCNNNNNNNNNNNNNNNNNNNNAAGGGGCGUAGAACUCGACGAGGGCGCCGCGAUCUUGGCCGACCUCCUCCUCGAAGUUGGCCUCGGUGAGCACGAUGACGUCGUCGUCGGCGAGGGCGGAUACGAACAGGAGAGCUAGGGUUAGGGUUCCGAAGAACAAUACCGAAAUCUGAGAUCUCUCCAUCUCUCGCUCUUUCGGAUCUCUUCUUCCCUCCAAAUGUUUUUUUCUUUCCUCCUCUUUUUCCCAAACCCUAACCCUAGCGGCUGCGGCCCUCCACCACCUGAGAGAGGCCGCGCUCCUCCAGCGCCGGCAAGAUGCAGAUCUUCGUGAAGACCCUCACGGGCAAGACCAUCACCCUCGAGGUCGAGUCCUCGGACACGUCUCUCUCUCUCUCUCGCUCUCUCUCAUCAGAGAUCCUUGCUUCCUCUUUUCUCCCCUCCAUCUCUGCUCUUCCCUGUCCAUCUCUGCUCUCAGGGGGGAUGUCCGAGAGUAUUUACAAUGGGGCCAACUCAUAUUCCAUACCCAUAGUUUUCAUGUAGUGCCAGCACUGGUACGCAAAGGUUAAGCGGCGAGUCUGAAAACACAGCCAGUCAGAUCCAAUUUGACAAAAGACUUCUGAGUCUUGCGUAACUGCUUCAGAUGUCUGUUGUAGAUUGAAACAGAAAGAUAACUGAAAAUCUUUUCAGACUUGACAGAAUCUUACCAGUGUAUGUUGGCCAAUGGAGUCCUAAUAAUAUAUACACUAGAUGUUGUUAGAUAGCUUGUGACCUCUCAUGUGUCAAAUGAAGAUCAGAUAACAAGCAGCUUUCUAUGUUGACAAAAAAGCAAACUACGACAUUCCAGUUGUUCACAUGAAAGAAAUCUCUCAAAGCUUUAAAAACUAUAAAGCAAUCAGACCUCCUCGUUAAGAUCUACAAAUCUCACCAUAUUCCCUAUUACAACGCAAAUUCCUGGUGUGGGGCACAUGCGUCUCUACCCCUUGCUUAUUCAUCUCCGCAUCCACAUUGACAUAUCCAUCUCCAAGAAGAAAUUUCAUGAGUGGACUCCUUGGAUUCCUCUCUUCUUCCUUUCCUCAUUUUCGAUGGAUACCCUUUUUAGCAUCUACAUCUUUCUAAACUUCCUUUCAAAUAAUUAAGAGAAAAUCAGUAGGCACAUGAGGGUAAACAGGCAGUCUGCUUGUCAACAUAGUCUAAAAAAUCCUAAUCAGUGGGAUCACUGCCGUCCAUCAUAUGUUUUUGUAUUUCUCUUGAAUAAAUCACAUAUAAUGCACGUCCAAAAUACUACCAUUUUUAAAUGUCAGCAAAGUAUAUCACUUGAAUAUUCGUGCCUAAUUAAAUGCCAUUUUCAUUCAUCGCACAUCCGCUUAGCAGUUUUCACUUCUGCUUAAUGUUUCGCAAACUAAGGCACGUUCAGUUUCAUUUGCAACAAAUGACAGCAUGUUAAUAGUCUUUCAUUCACCAUGGCUCCUUCCCUAGAAGUCCAACUAAAAUGGUUAAUAUACAGCCCCUCAA